AUGUCUCUCUCUGUGUCUGUCUCCAUCUCUCUCUCUCUCUCUCUGCCUCCCUUGCUCUCUGUCUGUCCAUCUCUCUUUCCCCCCUCACUGGCUCUGCCUCCCUUUCUGUCUCUCUCCCCAUCUCUCUGUCUCUACCUCUAUCUCUCCCCAUCUCUCACCCUAUCUCUUUCUUUCCCCCUAUGUCUCUGUUUCUGCAUCCCCUUCUAUCUCUCUCCCCAUCUCUCUUCCCCCCAUCUGUCUCUCCCUGUCUCUUUCUCUCUCUCUUCCCCUCAUUUCUGUCUCUGCCACCCUUUCUCUCUCUCCCUACAUCUCUCUCUCUCUUCCCCCAUCUCUGUCUCUCUCUCCAUCUCUCUCCCUCCCCUCAUCUCUGUCUCUGCCUGUCUCCAUCUCUUUCUCUCCUUCCAUCUCUGUCUCUCUCCCCAUCUCUUUCCCUGUCGCUCUCUCUCUCCCCCCAUUUCUGUCUCUCUCCCCCAUCUGUCUCUUUCCGCAUCUCUGUCUCUCUCUCCCCUCUGCAUCUGUCUCCUCACAUCUCUCUUUCUCUCCCCCUGCAUCUCUUUCUCUCUCCCCCCACAUCUUUCUCUCCCCCCCAUCUUUGUCUCUUUUCCUCCUGCAUCUGUCUCUCUCCCCGUCUCUAUUUCUUCCCCAUCUCUGUCUCUCUCUCCCUCCUGCAUCUCUGUCUGUCUCUCUCCCCCCGCAUGUCUGUCUGUCUGUUUCUCUCUCUGCAUCUGUCUGUCUCUCUCUCUCCCCCUGCAUCUGUCUCUCUUUCCCCCCAUAUCUGUCUGUCUCUCCUCUUGCAUCUAUCACUCUCCUCUCACAUCUGUGUCUCUCUCCCUCUCCCCAUCUCUGUCUCUCUCCCCAUCUCUGUAUCUCUCUCCUCUCGCAUCUCUCUCUCCCUCCCUCCUCUCAUUUCUGUCUCUUCCCCCAUCUGUCUCUUUCUCCCCACAUGUCUCCCUCCCUCCCCCAUCUCUCUCCUCCCACAUCUCUCUCUCCCUCCCUCCUCUCAUCUGUCUCUUCCCCCAUCUCUAUCUCUCUCCCCGCAUCUCUGUCUCUCUCCCUCUCCCCAUCUCUNNNNNNNNNNCAUCUCUGUCUCUCUCCCUCCCCCCAUCUCUAUCUCUCUCCCCGCAUCUCUGUCUCUCUCUCCCCACAUCUCUGUCUCUGUCCACCUCUCUCACCAGCUGCUCCCACACCCAGACCACGCCAUCCUCAGCACGGGGGGUCCUGGCUGCAGCCCCAGGAGAGCUCCAGGCACCGCUUGGGUCUCUCAGGGCGCGAGGAGGGGCGCCCAGCUCCGGCGGGGCCAGCCCGGCCCUGGCCAGCCGCCCCCAGGCCUCCAUCCUGAGCUGUCGGGGACACGCGGACACUCGAGGCCAAAGUCCGCACUGCCCAGGUUCCUGCUGCCUACCCACAAUCCCUCCUGCUGCUGGGGGUGCUCGAGGGGCCGCGGCUGCCGCUGCCCCCCCAGCAGCAGCAGGAGGGAUGGAGGGCAGACUCUAG
RNAcentral lists this long non-coding RNA (1494 nucleotides) under Vombatus ursinus (common wombat). RNAcentral's name for it is "lncRNA (ENSVURG00010003202.1)". The record is from RNAcentral. Lineage: Eukaryota; Metazoa; Chordata; Mammalia; Diprotodontia; Vombatidae.